UGUAGUUGAUGCUCUGUUGAUGCUUCUAUGUUGUUCCUCAAAUGUAAGUCGCUGGAUAAAAGCAUCUGCCAAAUGAGGAAAUGUAAAGUAAAUUAAUUCACAGAACAUUUAAUUUGUUGUUUGACAGUAUGUGUUGUGUUAACAAUUUGGACCUAAAGCUCGCCUCCUUGUGGAAAAAAAAAAAGACACAGAGAUUUUGGUAUCUGUGCUCUCCUCCCAGACCAGAGGACAUUCAGAUAUUAUCCACCACAGUGAGCUGCGAAGUCUUCGGCCACACCGGUGGUAAACAGGCGAGACAGGGGCUAUGUAAAUAUGAGACGAACACGGCUUGGCAAAACUGAAUGGGUGGACAAUAAAUGGAAAGGAGGAGUUUUCACCCACCCAGAUCAACAGGAUGGAAAUAGCUGUGGCAUCAUUGUCAUCAUGAUGUUCCAGUUAUCAGCUUUGGGACAUCAAGGAAGGAAAUGGCCAAUGAGAGAAAAGCAAUGGCUCUGCAGAUGCUGAAAGCAUCAGUGUUUCAUAUCGCCAAUAACUCUGCCAUGUGUUCAGUGGCAAAGCCUCCUGGAUCAGGGCCUCCGAUGACAAACUGGAUCCAAUGUGAAAUGUGUGAAAGGUGGUUCCAUGAGCAGUGCCCUGCUAUGGUCACCAGAGACCUGAAGAAAGCGAGAAAAUCAAAGUGGAAUUGCUCUGUGUGCCUGAUCACAUCCCACCAAUAUAGCUUGUAUGGACAAGGAAGUAACUGGAAUAAAGAAAUGAUCCAAGAUACACACAUAUGCACAUUCUGAACAAUCACAUAUUUUUAUUUUAGAAAGAUGUUUAAUAUUUUGUCUGUACACAUACAUGUAAGUGUGUUUAUAUCUGGAAAAUAAUGUGCAGUGUCUGUGUGUUUAUGUGUGUAUACAUUUAGAAAAUGGACAUGAGACUGCUUUGAUAUUGGCUGACUGUUAUUCUCUGGUGGUCACUCGAAGAGGACACUUUCAAGGGCUGUACCUUAAAAACAAAACUACAUCAGACAGCUCUGAUAUUGACAGAGUGUCUCCCUGAGGUGGUCUGCUGUCACUGUGGAGUGAAAUGAGUCAGUGGUUUUCUUUUAACAUCAGUUUGAAUCUA
Molecule: long non-coding RNA, 1110 nt
Organism: Micropterus salmoides (largemouth bass)
Lineage: Eukaryota; Metazoa; Chordata; Actinopteri; Centrarchiformes; Centrarchidae
Exons: 5
Source: RefSeq, a predicted model, not a curated record